GAAUGAACGGUUUUACAAUGUAAGUCUUUUUUUAUUUAAUAUUUUAAUUUUUAAUUUAAGUAAGAAUACUUAAAUAAAAAAUUGGGACGAUAAGACCCUAAAAGCUUUAAGUGUAAAGGUUAUUAAUUAAGUUUUUGUAGUAAAGAUAAUUAGGUACUAUUUACUGGGGAAGUUGUUAUAUUAUAUCUAUAAUUAGGUAAAACUAAGAUUUUAUGAUCCUUUAUAUAAGGAAAAUUGGUGAUAGUUACUUUAGGGAUAACAGCAUAAUAAUUUUAUAGAGACCCUAUCGAUAAGAUUGACUAUGACCUCGAUGUUGAAUUAAGAUGUCUA
RNAcentral lists this ribosomal RNA (330 nucleotides) under Crangonyx pseudoephemerus. RNAcentral describes it as "partial large subunit ribosomal RNA". Lineage: Eukaryota; Metazoa; Arthropoda; Malacostraca; Amphipoda; Crangonyctidae. The record is from RNAcentral.